UGGAAGCCAGCAAGUUCAGCUGCGCCGGCAGAGAUUGUCAACAGCGACCUGUAGCUGAGCGCCUAAUGCGCCUGCGCCAAGUUAUGAUUAUAAGAUCUGCGUUGUGUAAGGUAUUUCCCCAUAAAGCAAGAUUUUCCCAGAAAAGAGAAUAUAGUUCGUUUCUAAGUAUUAACUCCCUUUAGAUCUGGUUGCCUCGUAGUGAAGCAUAGGAAUACACUGCUUGUAAAUUUGGUUAGGUGCCUGAGGCACAGCGAAGAAGUGUCUAGCCCAAAGCGGAUGAGAAGUUGCUCCUUAUACCACUGGACCUGCAGAUAGUGGCACCACAGAAACACAUGCACCCAGGACUCCCAUGUGACUCCCCUGCAUUAUUCUAAACUGUACUUAACAUUGGUUUUCACUGUACAGUCAGUACCAAAGGUCAGAGCUAAGGCUACGUGAAGAGUUGCACAUACUGCUGUCUUGGCAGAGCACCUUAAAGCGCAUCUAAUUCUGUGUAUACAGUAUAAUGCAUGCAAAUAAUGCAUGCAAAGAAGUAAAG
This is a long non-coding RNA of Xenopus tropicalis (tropical clawed frog), 538 nucleotides long. RefSeq lists it as uncharacterized. Lineage: Eukaryota; Metazoa; Chordata; Amphibia; Anura; Pipidae. The transcript is spliced from 4 exons. The record is from RefSeq and is a predicted model, not a curated record.